UUUUGUAUUUAUUUAAUUUUUAUAUUUUAAUUUAGUUAUUUAUUCUAAAUGGUCCAUUUUAACACACAUUUUUUUCUUGAUUUUAUUUUUAUGUCUUAAAAUUAUUUUUAGCUUUUGAUUUUGGGAUGAAGGUUGACCACUGUCCCAUGGUCAACCCAACCUUUUCUUGGAAUUUUAUUUCCCAUUUUCAAUUUAUUUUGGAUUUAUUUUUAACCUAGUCUUGUGGAUUG
RNAcentral lists this long non-coding RNA (230 nucleotides) under Lathyrus oleraceus (garden pea). Its description in RNAcentral is "Pisum sativum (pea) long non-coding RNA (PSAT_LNC027946)". Lineage: Eukaryota; Viridiplantae; Streptophyta; Magnoliopsida; Fabales; Fabaceae. The record is from RNAcentral.